RNAcentral lists this ribosomal RNA (265 nucleotides) under Clostridioides difficile. Its description in RNAcentral is "partial 23S ribosomal RNA". It matches the Rfam family "Bacterial large subunit ribosomal RNA", at positions 807 to 1072 of the family's 2925-position model. Lineage: Bacteria; Bacillati; Bacillota; Clostridia; Peptostreptococcales; Peptostreptococcaceae. The record is from RNAcentral.
ACUUGUGGGUAGCGGUGAAAUUCCAAUCGAGCCCGGAGAUAGCUGGUUCUCCCCGAAAUAGCUUUAGGGCUAGCCUCAAGGUGAGAGAUACGGAGGUAGAGCACUGAAUGUCCUAGGGGGUAUUGCACCUACCGAAGACUAUCAAACUCCGAAUGCCGUCAUCUUAUACUUGGGAGUCAGACUGUGGGUGAUAAGAUUCAUAGUCGAAAGGGCAACAGCCCAGAUCGUCAGCUAAGGUCCCUAAAUGUAAGUUAAGUGGUAAAGG